Molecule: long non-coding RNA, 299 nt
Organism: Passer domesticus (house sparrow)
Lineage: Eukaryota; Metazoa; Chordata; Aves; Passeriformes; Passeridae
Exons: 2
Source: RefSeq, a predicted model, not a curated record
CAUCAAAUCCAGCUUCUGCCCAUGCAAAGGAUCAUCCCUACGAGUCACAUCACAUGUCCAAAUGCUUCUGGGAACUCUUAGGGUUUGCACAUACACACAACCAGGCUGACAGAGUUGAUGCUGAAUGAGUGCCUCUAGUGAGGCACAGCCAUGAAACGGAUCCGGCAAGUUGUAUAACUUGGAACAGAAAUCGCUUACCUGCAUUUAUUACAAGGGUCAUUAGGGUCAUUAUUGUAAAUAUAUUUGGUGGUUUUUAAACUAUCAUAAAUAUUUUCAAAAUUAAAAUUGUAAUUGUGAAA